GACGAACGCUGGCGGCGUGCUUAACACAUGCAAGUCGAACGCUGAAGCUCAGCUUUUGUUGGGUGGAUGAGUGGCGAACGGGUGAGUAACACGUGAGUAACCUGCCCCCUUCUUUGGGAUAACGCCCGGAAACGGGUGCUAAUACUGGAUAUUCACUGGUCUUCGCAUGGGGGUUGGUGGAAAGGGUUUUUCUGGUGGGGGAUGGGCUCGCGGCCUAUCAGCUUGUUGGUGGGGUGAUGGCCUACCAAGGCUUUGACGGGUAGCCGGCCUGAGAGGGUGACCGGUCACAUUGGGACUGAGAUACGGCCCAGACUCCUACGGGGGGCAGCAGUGGGGAAUAUUGCACAAUGGGCGCAAGCCUGAUGCAGCGACGCCGCGUGAGGGAUGGGGGCCUUCGGGUUGUGAACCUCUUUCGCUCAUGGUCAAGCCGCAACAAUGGUUGUGGUGAGGGUAGUGGGUAAAGAAGCGCCGGCUAACUACGUG
This 483-nucleotide ribosomal RNA is filed under the name uncultured bacterium. RNAcentral describes it as "partial 16S ribosomal RNA". It matches the Rfam family "Bacterial small subunit ribosomal RNA", at positions 28 to 507 of the family's 1533-position model. The record is from RNAcentral.